RNAcentral lists this ribosomal RNA (468 nucleotides) under uncultured bacterium. RNAcentral describes it as "partial 16S ribosomal RNA". It matches the Rfam family "Bacterial small subunit ribosomal RNA", at positions 28 to 507 of the family's 1533-position model. The record is from RNAcentral.
GACGAACGCUGGCGGCGUGCUUAACACAUGCAAGUCGAACGGAAAGGCCCUGCUUUUGUGGGGUGCUCGAGUGGCGAACGGGUGAGUAACACGUGAGUAACCUGCCCUUGACUUUGGGAUAACUUCAGGAAGCUGGGGCUAAUACCGGAUAGGAGCUCCUGCUGCAUGGUGGGGGUUUGAAAGUUUCGGCGGUUGGGGAUGGACUCGCGGCUUAUCAGCUUGUUGGUGGUGUAGUGGCUUACCAAGGCUUUGACGGGUAGCCGGCCUGAGAGGGUGACCGGCCACAUUGGGACUGAGAUACGGCCCAGACUCCUACGGGAGGCAGCAGUGGGGAAUAUUGCACAAUGGGCGGAAGCCUGAUGCAGCAACGCCGCGUGCGGGAUGACGGCCUUCGGGUUGUAAACCGCUUUCGCCUGUGACGAAGCGUGAGUGACGGUAAUGGGUAAAGAAGCACCGGCUAACUACGUG